RNAcentral lists this ribosomal RNA (546 nucleotides) under Runella sp. PRB1. RNAcentral describes it as "bacterial SSU rRNA". It matches the Rfam family "Bacterial small subunit ribosomal RNA", at positions 87 to 631 of the family's 1533-position model. The record is from RNAcentral. Lineage: Bacteria; Pseudomonadati; Bacteroidota; Cytophagia; Cytophagales; Spirosomataceae.
CAAUGUCACUGUCGUACGGGUGCGUAACACGUAUGCAACCUACCUAUCACAGGGGGAUAGCCUUUGGAAACAAGGAUUAAUACCGCAUAAAGCAGGGGCUCCGCAUGGAGAUAUUGCUAAAGAUUUAUCGGUGAUAGAUGGGCAUGCGUCUGAUUAGUUAGUUGGCAGGGUAACGGCCUACCAAGACGAUGAUCAGUAGGGGGCGUCAGAGCGUGGUCCCCCACACUGGCACUGAGAUACGGGCCAGACUCCUACGGGAGGCAGCAGUAGGGAAUAUUGGGCAAUGGAUGCAAGUCUGACCCAGCCAUGCCGCGUGGAGGAAGAAGGUCCUCUGGAUUGUAAACUCCUUUUUUGGGGGAAGAAUAGUUCUCUUGCGAGGGAAUGUGACGGUACCCUAAGAAUAAGCCACGGCUAACUACGUGCCAGCAGCCGCGGUAAUACGUAGGUGGCAAGCGUUGUCCGGAUUUAUUGGGUUUAAAGGGUGCGUAGGUGGUUUGAUAAGUCAGUGGUGAAAGCUGGUUGCUCAACAAUCAAGUUGCCAUUGAU